UACGUGGGGUCCGAGCGUUGUCCGGAAUUACUGGGCGUAAAGAGCUCGUAGGUGGUUUGUCGCGUUGUUCGUGAAAACUCACAGCUUAACUGUGGGCGUGCGGGCGAUACGGGCAGACUGGAGUACUGCAGGGGAGACUGGAAUUCCUGGUGUAGCGGUGGAAUGCGCAGAUAUCAGGAGGAACACCGGUGGCGAAGGCGGGUCUCUGGGCAGUAACUGACGCUGAGGAGCGAAAGCGUGGGGAGCGAACAGG
RNAcentral lists this ribosomal RNA (253 nucleotides) under uncultured bacterium. RNAcentral's name for it is "partial 16S ribosomal RNA". It matches the Rfam family "Bacterial small subunit ribosomal RNA", at positions 524 to 776 of the family's 1533-position model. The record is from RNAcentral.